UCCUAUGGGAGGCAGCAGUGGGGAAUAUUGCGCAAUGGGGGAAACCCUGACGCAGCGACGCCGCGUGCGGGAUGAAGGCCUUCGGGUUGUAAACCGCUUUUGAUUGGGAGCAAGCCUUCGGGUGAGUGUACCUUUCGAAUAAGCGCCGGCUAACUACGUGCCAGCAGCCGCGGUAAUACGUAGGGCGCAAGCGUUAUCCGGAUUUAUUGGGCGUAAAGAGCUUGUAGGCGGUUCGUCGCGUCUGGUGUGAAAGCCCAUCGCUUAACGGUGGGUCUGCGCCGGGUACGGGCGGGCUAGAGUGCAGUAGGGGAAACUGGAAUUCCCGGUGUAACGGUGGAAUGUGUAGAUAUCGGGAAGAACACCAAUGGCGAAGGCAGGUCUCUGGGCUGUUACUGACGCUGAGAAGCGAAAGCGUGGGGAGCGAACAGGAUUAGAUACCCUAGUAGUCC
This 449-nucleotide ribosomal RNA is filed under the name Klebsiella pneumoniae subsp. pneumoniae. Its description in RNAcentral is "bacterial SSU rRNA". It matches the Rfam family "Bacterial small subunit ribosomal RNA", at positions 337 to 796 of the family's 1533-position model. The record is from RNAcentral. Lineage: Bacteria; Pseudomonadati; Pseudomonadota; Gammaproteobacteria; Enterobacterales; Enterobacteriaceae.